This 206-nucleotide ribosomal RNA is filed under the name uncultured bacterium. Its description in RNAcentral is "partial 16S ribosomal RNA". It matches the Rfam family "Bacterial small subunit ribosomal RNA", at positions 1295 to 1500 of the family's 1533-position model. The record is from RNAcentral.
GGAUUGCAGCCUGCAACUCGGCUGCAUGAAGCUGGAAUCGCUAGUAAUCGCGGAUCAGAACGCCGCGGUGAAUGCGUUCCCGGGUCUUGUACACACCGCCCGUCACACCAUGGGAGCCGGAAACGCCCGAAGCCAGCGGCCUAACCGCAAGGAGGGAGCUGUCGAAGGCGGGGCCGGUGACCGGGGUGAAGUCGUAACAAGGUAGC